ACACAUGCAAGUCGAACGGUAAGGCCCUUCGGGGUACACGAGUGGCGAACGGGUGAGUAACACGUGGGUAAUCUGCCCUGCACAUCGGGAUAAGCCUGGGAAACUGGGUCUAAUACCGAAUAGGACCACAGAACACAUGUCCUGUGGUGGAAAGCUUUUGCGGUGUGGGAUGGGCCCGCGGCCUAUCAGCUUGUUGGUGGGGUGAUGGCCCACCAAGGCGACGACGGGUAGCCGGCCUGAGAGGGUGUCCGGCCACACUGGGACUGAGAUACGGCCCAGACUCCUACGGGAGGCAGCAGUGGGGAAUAUUGCACAAUGGGCGAAAGCCUGAUGCAGCGACGCCGCGUGGGGGAUGACGGCCUUCGGGUUGUAAACCUCUUUCACCAUCGACGAAGGUUCGGGUUUUCUCGGAUUGACGGUAGGUGGAGAAGAAGCACCGGCCAACUACGUGCCAGCAGCCGCGGUAAUACGUAGGGUGCGAGCGUUGUCCGGAAUUACUGGGCGUAAAGAGCUCGUAGGUGGUUUGUCGCGUUGUUCGUGAAAUCUCACGGCUUAACUGUGAGCGUGCGGGCGAUACGGGCAGACUUGAGUACUGCAGGGGAGACUGGAAUUCCUGGUGUAGCGGUGGAAUGCGCAGAUAUCAGGAGGAACACCGGUGGCGAAGGCGGGUCUCUGGGCAGUAACUGACGCUGAGGAGCGAAAGCGUGGGGAGCGAACAGGAUUAGAUACCCUGGUAGUCCACGCCGUAAACGGUGGGUACUAGGUGUGGGUUUCCUUCCUUGGGAUCCGUGCCGUAGCUAACGCAUUAAGUACCCCGCCUGGGGAGUACGGCCGCAAGGCUAAAACUCAAAGAAAUUGACGGGGGCCCGCACAAGCGGCGGAGCAUGUGGAUUAAUUCGAUGCAACGCGAAGAACCUUACCUGGGUUUGACAUGCACAGGACGCCGGCAGAGAUGUCGGUUCCCUUGUGGCCUGUGUGCAGGUGGUGCAUGGCUGUCGUCAGCUCGUGUCGUGAGAUGUUGGGUUAAGUCCCGCAACGAGCGCAACCCUUGUCUCAUGUUGCCAGCGGGUAAUGCCGGGGACUCGUGAGAGACUGCCGGGGUCAACUCGGAGGAAGGUGGGGAUGACGUCAAGUCAUCAUGCCCCUUAUGUCCAGGGCUUCACACAUGCUACAAUGGCCGGUACAAAGGGCUGCGAUGCCGCGAGGUUAAGCGAAUCCUUUUAAAGCCGGUCUCAGUUCGGAUCGGGGUCUGCAACUCGACCCCGUGAAGUCGGAGUCGCUAGUAAUCGCAGAUCAGCAACGCUGCGGUGAAUACGUUCCCGGGCCUUGUACACACCGCCCGUCACGUCAUGAAAGUCGGUAACACCCGAAGCCAGUGGCCUAACCCUUUGGGAGGGAGCUGUC
This 1404-nucleotide ribosomal RNA is filed under the name Mycobacterium gordonae. RNAcentral's name for it is "bacterial SSU rRNA". It matches the Rfam family "Bacterial small subunit ribosomal RNA". Lineage: Bacteria; Bacillati; Actinomycetota; Actinomycetes; Mycobacteriales; Mycobacteriaceae. The record is from RNAcentral.